CGUGGGGAUCAACCAGGAUUAGAUACCCUGGUAGUCCACGCAGUAAACGAUGAUUACUAGCUGUUUGCGAUACACAGUAAGCGGCACAGCGAAAGCGUUAAGUAAUCCACCUGGGGAGUACGCCGGCAACGGUGAAACUCAAAGGAAUUGACGGGGGCCCGCACAAGCGGAGGAACAUGUGGUUUAAUUCGAUGAUACGCGAGGAACCUUACCCGGGUUUGAACGCAUUCGGACCGGAGUGGAAACACUUCUUCUAGCAAUAGCCGUUUGCGAGGUGCUGCAUGGUUGUCGUCAGCUCGUGCCGUGAGGUGUCGGCUUAAGUGCCAUAACGAGCGCAACCCUUAUCACUAGUUACUAACAGGUCAUGCUGAGGACUCUAGUGAGACUGCCAGCGUAAGCUGUGAGGAAGGUGGGGAUGACGUCAAAUCAGCACGGCCCUUACAUCCGGGGCGACACACGUGUUACAAUGGUGGGGACAAAGGGCAGCUACCUGGCGACAGGAUGCUAAUCUCCAAACCUCAUCUCAGUUCGGAUCGAAGUCUGCAACCCGACUUCGUGAAGCUGGAUUCGCUAGUAAUCGCGCAUCAGCCAUGGCGCGGUGAAUACGUUCCCGGGCCUUGUACACACCGCCCGUCAAGCCAUGGGAGUUGGGGGUACCUAAAGUCCGUAACCGCAAGGAUCGGCCUAGGGUAAAACCGAUGACUGGGGCUAAGUCGUAACAAGGUAGCCGUACCGGAAGGUGCGGCUG
RNAcentral lists this ribosomal RNA (748 nucleotides) under human gut metagenome. RNAcentral's name for it is "bacterial SSU rRNA". It matches the Rfam family "Bacterial small subunit ribosomal RNA", at positions 760 to 1520 of the family's 1533-position model. The record is from RNAcentral.